Molecule: ribosomal RNA, 363 nt
Filed under: uncultured bacterium
Lineage: Bacteria
Description: bacterial SSU rRNA
Rfam family: Bacterial small subunit ribosomal RNA
Source: RNAcentral
AAGUCCCGCAAGGGAUCGGUAGAGUGGCAAACGGGUGAGUAACACGUGGGUGACCUGCCUUCGAGUGGGGGAUAACGUCCCGAAAGGGACGCUAAUACCGCAUGACAUCCUGCCUUUGAACAGGUGGAGAUCAAAGCUGGGGAUCGCAAGACCUAGCGCUUGAAGAGGGGCCCGCGUCUGAUUAGCUAGUUGGUGAGGUAACGGCUCACCAAGGCAACGAUCAGUAUCCGGCCUGAGAGGGCGGACGGACACACUGGGACUGAGACACGGCCCAGACUCCUACGGGAGGCAGCAGUGGGGAAUUGUUCGCAAUGGGCGCAAGCCUGACGACGCAACGCCGCGUGGAGGAUGAAGACCUUCGGG